RNAcentral lists this long non-coding RNA (482 nucleotides) under Ananas comosus (pineapple). Its description in RNAcentral is "long non-coding RNA (ACOM_LNC030666)". Lineage: Eukaryota; Viridiplantae; Streptophyta; Magnoliopsida; Poales; Bromeliaceae. The record is from RNAcentral.
AUUUAAAAUUACAAUUUAAAUUUUAAUUUGAAUUCAUAAAUUUAAUUUAAGUUUGAAAUAAAAUUUGAAUAACAUUUUAUAUAAAUUAAAUUUUAAUUUAAAUUCAAAUUCAUAAGUUAGAUUCGAAAUAUUUGAUUAAAUUUUAAUUUUUAAUUUAAGUUUAAAUUAAAAUUUAAAAUUAUAUAUUUAAUUUUAAAAUUUUAACUCAUAUUUUAAUUAAAAAGUUGAAAAAAUAAAUUUAAUCCGAAUAAAUAUUCAUUCCGUCCGAAUUCAACUUUCAAUCCGGUCUCCUAGGCCGGAUUGGAAAAAGAGGUGAUUGGGGGAUUCCCAUUCUACUCGGGAAUCGGAAUCGGAAUGGAACUCUCGCGUACCAAACACCCAUAAACGAAUUUAUCUAUUCCGAUUCCGAUUUCAGGGUAAAAAAGAGGCGAACCAAACACGCCCUUAAAAGUAUAUGAGCUUAAUUCUUAUAUAUAUAUAUA